CUGUAGUAGUCAUGGCUGACACUCUUGUGAUCCUCUUGAGUCUACAGUCUACAUUCACCAGGACAGAAACCUGUAACAGAGACAAGGAGAUGCUAACAGCCAUAGAAAGCAUCCUACCUCAAAAGGUGAAGUUCUCGCAUAAGAAGCUAAACACACAAAGGUGUAAGUUUAAAAAUCAAACACCUUCUCCCUAAUCUUGAGACCACAAAGCUGCCAAGUCUGCCGGGCCAUCACUCAAUGCCAGGUAAUCCCAUUCUGUCAUCCAUUUCCUUGCAUUAUCAUGUGUCAUGUUUAAGUUCCCUAUAAUGGC
This 310-nucleotide long non-coding RNA is filed under the name Numida meleagris (helmeted guineafowl). Its description in RNAcentral is "lncRNA (ENSNMEG00000009506.1)". The record is from RNAcentral. Lineage: Eukaryota; Metazoa; Chordata; Aves; Galliformes; Numididae.